GAUGAACGCUGGCGGCGUGCCUAAUACAUGCAAGUCGAGCGAACGGACGAGAAGCUUGCUGGUCGGAUGUUAGCGGCGGACGGGGGAGUAACACGUGGAGAAUCUACCUAUAAGACUGGGAUAACUACGGGAAACCGGAGCGAAUACCGGAUAAUAUUUUGAACCGCAUGGUUCAAAAGUGAAAGACGGUCUUGGUGUCACUGAUAGAUGGACCCGCGGUGCAUUAGCUAGUUGGUAAGGUAACGGCUUACCAAGGCAACGAUGCAUAGCCGACCUGAGAGGGUGGUCGGCCACACUGGAACUGAGACACGGUCGCGACUCCUACGGGAGGCAGCAGUAGGGAGUCUUCCGCAAUGGGCGGAAGCAUGACGGAGCAGCGCCGCGUGAGUGAUGAAGGUCUUCUGCUCGUAAUACUCUGUUAUUAGGGAAGAACAUAUGUGUAAGUGUCUGUGCACAUCUUGACGGUACCUAGUCAGAAAGCCACGGCUAACUACGUG
Molecule: ribosomal RNA, 497 nt
Filed under: uncultured bacterium
Lineage: Bacteria
Description: partial 16S ribosomal RNA
Rfam family: Bacterial small subunit ribosomal RNA
Source: RNAcentral